Molecule: long non-coding RNA, 777 nt
Filed under: Pan troglodytes (chimpanzee)
Lineage: Eukaryota; Metazoa; Chordata; Mammalia; Primates; Hominidae
Description: long non-coding RNA NONPTRT016415
Source: RNAcentral
AAAGAAGCUCCCGCGUCAGAGCUGGGAAGUGCCGGGCCGGCGGGGAGGGGAGCCCGGGCGCACGGGCCAGGCCGCGGGCUGUCCCAGGGAGCCCCGAGGGCGCGGUGCGCGGGCGCAGGUCGGGCGCAGGCGGGGUGACCCGGGGAAGGGGCGCGCACAGAGACAGAGGGAGCCAGCCGGGCCCCGCGGUGUCCUCGGACGCCUCCGAAAUCUCCCUGCGUGUUUGUUUCUUCGGAGCUUCACCGGAGCCUGACUCUGGACCCGGCCUGUCUGCCUGCUGCAGUCUGUCAUUCAACAUUUAUUCAACCAAAAAUACUAAGUCAGCUCUAUACAAACUAAUGGAAGGAUACAGCUAUGCAAAUACAGAAGAACACUAAACUGUUACAUGACAGAUGUAUGAGAUUUGCCAACAUCUUGGGAACAUUGUUGGAAGCAUAGGACAUGUCAAUGAUGGCCAGGUGUGAGAGGAAGAAGUACAUGGGGGUAUGCAGACUGUGGUCCAGACAGAUGAGUCCCAAGAUCAUGCCAUUCGCCAGCAGGCUGAAGAUGUAUAACAGGGAGAAGAUCCAAAAGAGGAGCACUUCCAUCUCGACACUGAGCUGGAAUCCCACCAGGAUGAAUUCUGUGACCCAUGAUUGGUUGACUCCCAUUCCUUAAUGGAAGUCUGUCAAGGACUGAAGUGUGAUAGAAAGGUCAGAAAAUUUGAGUUUUUAUCUGAAAAUGAGCUAAGAUAAAGGCUAUAUGUUUGUUCCUAUUAGAUAAGCCCCUUCAAAUUCC